Asparagus officinalis (garden asparagus) is the source of this 816-nucleotide long non-coding RNA. RefSeq lists it as uncharacterized. The transcript has 2 exons. Lineage: Eukaryota; Viridiplantae; Streptophyta; Magnoliopsida; Asparagales; Asparagaceae. The record is from RefSeq and is a predicted model, not a curated record.
AAGAGGGAAAAGAACUCAUAAAUCGCCUCCACGUCUACUUUUUCUCUCUCCCCUAAUUCCUUCCCCAACCAAGUGAAAUCAACAAAAAAACCCUGGUCACGUCAGAUUUUUUCUUCCUCGUUGAUUUCUUCAGUGAGCUAGAGUUACCUCCUUCGCACUGCUCCCACCAGAAACUCUCAGCUUUGUCCCUGUGUUCGAAUAAAUUGGGGGAGGGGGUUUGAUCUUUGCCAACGUUGUUCAGAUCUGAAAUCCCGAUGGUGGGAGACUUCGUCGGCGACGACGGCGUUCCCUACGCCGACCCCAACGGCCCCGGUCAUAUGCUGCACUAUGUUCGACACCGUCUUCCACGGCUUCUCGGCCUCCCUGCCCCCUCCAGAGCGACGUGAAUCUCAUGAAACCCCUCCAUCCUCGCCGUCUCCCACAGUUCGAGCAGGAUCGUGGGGUUCUUAAAGUCGAGAGGUGGAGCUUUUCCUCUGGUUGUGUUCAGUAUGUACAAACACCUUUGUGCCCAAAUUCACUGCAGAAGGCAGACCUUAACAGAAGCCUGUCAAGGAACCAACAGUUGAAUCUGAAUGGCUUUAUGCAUGGCUCUCAAGGUCUCCAGACAGGGUCUGUUCAAGCAAAUUUUCAAGGAGAUGCUAUGGUCUCUGAUAGUAAUAACUUAACACAGAGAAGCUCCUCUUCCUUUUUAUCACAAACUUGUCUCUUGCAUGAUUUUCUCAAGUUCUAUUUGUGUGUUUUUUAUUUGUGGAGCUUGGUUAGGUGUUGUGGAGCCUGAUUGUGUUGUGGAGCCUAAUUGUGUUGUGCUUUUGUUCU